AACGAACGCUGGCGGCAGGCUUAACACAUGCAAGUCGAACGCCCCGCAAGGGGAGUGGCAGACGGGUGAGUAACACGUGGGAACAUGCCCAAAGGUACGGAAUAUUCUCGGGAAACUGGGAGCAAUACCGUAUGUGCCCGAAAGGGGAAAGAUUUAUCGCCUUUGGAUUGGCCCGCGUUGGAUUAGCUAGUUGGUGGGGUAAAAGCCUACCAAGGCGACGAUCCAUAGCUGGUCUGAGAGGACGACCAGCCACACUGGGACUGAGACACGGCCCAGACUCCUACGGGAGGCAGCAGUGGGGAAUCUUGGACAAUGGGCGCAAGCCUGAUCCAGCCAUGCCGCGUGGAUGAUGAAGGCCCUAGGGUUGUAAAAUCCUUUCGUUGGGGACGAUAAUGACGGUACCCAAAGAAGAAGCUCCGGCUAACUUCGUGCCAGCCGCCGCCGUAA
Molecule: ribosomal RNA, 447 nt
Filed under: uncultured bacterium
Lineage: Bacteria
Description: partial 16S ribosomal RNA
Rfam family: Bacterial small subunit ribosomal RNA
Source: RNAcentral